GGAGGGAUACCGAAGUGGUCAUACCGGGCUGGUCUCGAAAACCAAGCGUGGGGCAAACUCACACGUGGGUUCGAAUCCCACUCCCUCCGCCA
RNAcentral lists this transfer RNA (92 nucleotides) under candidate division WWE3 bacterium. RNAcentral's name for it is "tRNA-Ser". It matches the Rfam family "tRNA". From Rfam's summary of the family: Transfer RNA (tRNA) molecules are approximately 80 nucleotides in length. Their secondary structure includes four short double-helical elements and three loops (D, anti-codon, and T loops). The record is from RNAcentral. Lineage: Bacteria; candidate division WWE3.